GGAGGCUGCCAGCACUGCGGUGCCAGAGUGUUUGCCUUCAGUGGUAGAAACCUGAAUCUUUUGUUUAUCUUCGUUGAACACUGACUCCGGUUCCAAACGUUUCUGGACGAUCAAGAUUACCUACGUUUGGUGGAUUUCAUUUCGAUUUUGUUUCCAAGGACCAAGCCGGCAGCUUCCUGUUUUCCUCCGUCUUCUGAACCAAGGCAUAAGCGUACCCUGUCCACCCUCCAACUUAAGUACCUGAACAUUGAUUUAACUCCUGAACUCACCAGAACUCAUUCUACAGCUCAAGUAGAACCAUCUGGAUUUCUCCGCCUCGCACACCUGGACCCCGACUCCCUCUACCCCUGGUGACCAGAUUGCACUUGUUUAUUGGUGAUACGCCCGUUCAAGUUCCAGACUCACUUGCUGUAAAUAAACACCUUUCACUGAUUUAGCUGUUUCCUCAGAGUGUAGCUCUCCACCCACAGCUAAGAUUCCACCUCAACGAUCUGCCUCUGAACCUGAGCCCAUGCUGGUGGGGCGCACCUGUUUAACUUUUGAAGAAAGACAGACGCAAACUAACCAAGCAGUGUUUUUACUGCGGCUCACCUGAUCACUUCGUAGCAACUUGUCCUAUUUGCCCCGGGCAGCCAAAAGACAGGGUCCACCAACUAUGAAGGGGGGGUUGGUGGACCACUCGCAGAAUUGUAAAGCCCCCAGAUUCAGCCUACCAGCUACUAUCAUAUUUAAUCAACAUACUUUGACUCUGUCUGCCAUGUUAGAUUCAGGCAGCGAACAGAACUUAAUAGAUUCCAAGUUAGUCAUCAGAGCAGGCAUUGAGGUGGAACCACUUACUUUUCCUCGUUCCGUUCUAGCUUUAGACGGAAAGAAAUUGCAGCAGAUAACCCAGCGUACUAAACCACUAGAACUUCUACUGUCAGGUAACCAUAGGGAAGUUAUAUCUUUUUUUGUGUUUCCAGUGUCUCAGGGUUUCAUAGUUCUUGGCUUCACUUGGUUACAGAAACAUAACCCUCAUUUAGAUUGGUCUGAGUCUCGCAUCAAGUCCUGGUCCACUAGUUGUCACUCAUCUCGUCUCCAGUCAGCUUUCUCCCCAAGUUUCCCCGAGCAGGUUAACAGGGAUGACGAGGUUAUAGAUUUGUCUCAUGUGCCCACUGAGUACCAUGAUUUAAGAGGAGUCUUUAGUAAGUGUUGGGACCCAGCCAUGGAAACAACAUUUAAAAACUCCGGUACACACUUUACUGGAACUUUCAAAAUAAAUUGCAUUAACUGACUUCCAGCAACUGAGGAAAGGGGGGUAGCAGCAGACUUCCCAUGAUGCCACUGUCUGAAUAAGAGCACCCCCUCUCCAACAAGCCAACCUCUUCCACUGUUCCUCUUCGCGGGACCGGAAUCGGAGAGGCAGCGCGUUGAUGUCUCUUUGCUAGAAAAACGACAUAACUCUUCAACUGGACCCAAGAGUGUCAUAAGAUCAGACAAUCAUAUGCACCAGUUAAGUACUAGUGAAUAACUGUUUGUGUAUCCAGUAUUCAUUCAUAAAAAGGGGAAAUUAAGGUAUAAGCAUUGCCUGACUUUCUUUCUGAGGCCUGCAGAAGCAAACAGUGUUCCAGAGAA
Long non-coding RNA from Girardinichthys multiradiatus, 1614 nucleotides. RefSeq lists it as uncharacterized. NCBI's taxonomy places the organism in Eukaryota, Metazoa, Chordata, Actinopteri, Cyprinodontiformes, Goodeidae. The record is from RefSeq and is a predicted model, not a curated record. The transcript has 3 exons.